GAAUAUUGAAUUUUGAAUUUUUAACGCCAUUCAAGCCACAAGAAAUAUUCAAAUAUGCAAGUGUGAUACGAAAAGUAAUAAUAAUUAGGAUUAUUUUUGAAGAAAGCGAGUCCUACCAUCAUAUCUAGUCAAAAAUUGAGUUGAAAGUUCAUCAAACAUGAAAUGCGCUUCGAAUGUUUAAUCAAGACUGAGAAAAACACAGAAGCACAACUCAAACAAAAUUAUUCAACAACUACAACAAAUGGUUCAACAAAGUAUACGUAAAAAACAAACCACAAAAACAACUACGACUACAAAUUAUUAUACCCCACAAAUAUAU
Drosophila guanche is the source of this 319-nucleotide long non-coding RNA. RefSeq lists it as uncharacterized. The transcript is spliced from 3 exons. Lineage: Eukaryota; Metazoa; Arthropoda; Insecta; Diptera; Drosophilidae. The record is from RefSeq and is a predicted model, not a curated record.